AUGGCGGUUAACCUGGAACAGCUUGUUGAUGACAGCGAUUGGACUGAGGUAAAGGUUAUCAACCGCUACGCUGUGUUCAUGAGUUAUCUAUCCAUGGCCAUCAAGGGCUUGGGUUUCUUGGUGCUUACUUGGACCACCGUUGUACUUCUCGGUGGCUUCGUCUCUAUGCUGCAUAAGAAGGACUUUUGGUGUUUGACCUUCAUCACCCUUGUACAGACAGCUGGGAUUUUUGAUGUUAAUCUGAAUGAGAAACUAGGCUAUAUGAAGAAUGCAUUCAUGGGGUUCUUCGUGGCCAUUGUUUGGGGCAUAGUAGGUGAACAUAUGGCCCCUCAGAUGACGAUGUACCCAGGCCCUCUGGUGAUUCAUUUCUUGACUUAUAUGUGUCUCAUGUCGGUGGCAUUACUUUUAACAUUGGUUCAAGUAGUGGUGUUUGCCAUAAUAUUGGGCCCUCUGGCGAUUAUAUACGUGCUUGGGAUAUUCAUGUCCGGAGUGAUUUCAUUGUGGCGUCUGAUAGAGCACGAUUAUGGGAGCAACUCGGAUGGAGAAGCAUCAAACCUAUCGCCGGCUAUGGACACCUUGUACUACCUUGCUCUGCUCCAGGGUGUGCUCUUCUGCUAUAGGUUCGUGUUGGGUCGCGCGGAGAAGAGGAUGCCUAAGGCCGGGGCCGACUCGAAAGUUCAAGUAGUACUUCAGAAUUACUUGCGCGAAACAAAGAGAGGAUGUGAGAAGGACCCGACAUUUGCGGAAGGAAGGAACCUUACCUCAUAUGCUGUUGACAAGAUUGGUUCCAAUUCACCAGUUGACUGCAUUUCCGGGGUGAAGAUCUUGUACGCAGCCAUAAGCAUGGUGGAGAUGCAGGAUAUUUGGGAUAGUCCGAGCAAUGUCACUGGGCAGCGCAUGCUCAUGAAACAUCUGGUCUUGUCUGCAUCAUCCUCUCGACACGUACUGCAAAAAUUGCUAGAGAUGAUGGAUUCAAGAGGCCUACAUGACAGAGAGAUAAGAAACCAGGCCGCGACGAUAGUGGAGCGACUUGCAUUCUACAUUAAUUUGGAGCAGUUUCCUCGGGGUAUUCAACACAUAUCUUCCCUAAUCGGGACGUUUGAACAAUACAACUUAGCCGAGCCAUAUACCAGUUCCAAAAAAGAAUAUGAGCAUCAUUUGAAACUACAGGUCACUCGUCGGCGCCCUUCACUGGCAGGCGAACUUGGGGAAGCCUACAAGGAGUUGUUGUUACAAGGCCUGUCUAUCCUCCGGAAUCUUGCUGCCGACGAAAACAAUUGCAGAGUCAUGAGCGACACCCGGGAUCUAGUCUCCAAGAUCAUGGCGCCCGUCACUUCUGACCUACUCGACCACACCACUCGUGAUCAUGGUACAUGGUACGAAGUAGUAGAUCGAUCAAUGGAAGUGAUGAGCCAAUUAACCAAUGCUCAAGGAGAAACUGGGACCAAGCUACGUCGUGAAAUAUCAAGCGACGCAAAAGCAAUCGGCACUCUCCAGAGGAUUGUUAGCUGUAAAAAUUGUAAAGAAGAGCUGCGGCAAAGAGCCAUUUGGAUUCUCAGACGAUUGUACAAGGAUACUAUCGGAACAAACAUAUCAGCUAAUUUCGAUUUUCUCAAAAGAGGAAAUAGUUAUUGCAGAGAAGACUUUGUUAGGCUGCUAGUGAACAUCUUUACUCACAAUAACGAGUAUAGCAGCUCCAUCAGAGGAUAUGCAGGAGAAGCACUGUCUGAGAUAUGUUCCCUUGGCCGAAUUAGUGAUGCCACAAUUGUCAUACAAACAAGUGGUGAUGUUGUUGAUAGUUUCGCUCAAGUGCUUUUACAUGAAGAGGACAAGACAUGCGGACAAGCAGCUGCUGAAAUUCUUGAGCAUCUAUGUACCCAUUACACCAAGGAUGAUGAAUACCUUCGCAAACUUAAGAAGGCAAUCCUCGGGGUGAUUGGAAAAAUACUUUGUUGUGGAGACGUAACGCAUAAUGGAAAAGACAUAGAAAGCCUGUGUGAUGGCAAAGAAGAAUACAGUGAUCGGGACAAGAAGUACGAGGGAUUCCAGGUGGACGCACUCUCAAGUAUGCCAUUGAACUUGCUAUCGCCAUUGUUAUCCCUUUGUGGCACAGUCUACGACAUGAGGUUGAUCAUUGAUUUGCAUCCUCAGUUGGAUGCAUCUAACUUUCUAAACAAGCUCAAGCAGAUAGUAGUUGAAAAAAGUGACUCCACCGUCGAAAACUUGUCAUUGUGCAAGGCUACCGGUAAUAUGGUCAUAUCAAUGAUGAAAUACUACACUAGUGGCGGGUUCUUCAAGCAAGAGGACUUUGGAAGCUUGAUAGAGGCACUCUCUGGUACUUCCAAGAAAAUGCUGGAUCUCGACUACUCAGUGGUUUGUUCUUCUGCCAGCAGCUCCGAAACUAGAAUGAAGCUUGAUGGGCGCACUCUCGCGUCCCUCGUGAGAGAAGCGAAAGAACUGCUUGCUACCAGGCUACCAUCUGCCUCUUUCGGUGGUUGA
This 2499-nucleotide ribosomal RNA is filed under the name Triticum aestivum (bread wheat). Its description in RNAcentral is "partial small subunit ribosomal RNA". Lineage: Eukaryota; Viridiplantae; Streptophyta; Magnoliopsida; Poales; Poaceae. The record is from RNAcentral.